Molecule: ribosomal RNA, 490 nt
Filed under: uncultured bacterium
Lineage: Bacteria
Description: partial 16S ribosomal RNA
Rfam family: Bacterial small subunit ribosomal RNA
Source: RNAcentral
AUUGAACGCUGGCGGCAGGCCUAACACAUGCAAGUCGAACGGUAACAGGAAGAAGCUUGCUUCUUUGCUGACGAGUGGCGGACGGGUGAGUAAUGUCUGGGAAACUGCCUGAUGGAGGGGGAUAACUACUGGAAACGGUAGCUAAUACCGCAUAACGUCGCAAGACCAAAGAGGGGGACCUUCGGGCCUCUUGCCAUCGGAUGUGCCCAGAUGGGAUUAGCUAGUAGGUGGGGUAACGGCUCCCCUAGGCGACGAUACCUAGCUGGUCUGAGAGGAUGACCAGCCACACUGGAACUGAGACACGGUCCAGACUCCUACGGGAGGCAGCAGUGGGGAAUAGUGCACAAUGGGCGCAAGCCUGAUGCAGCCAUGCCGCGUGUAUGAAGAAGGCCUUCGGGUUGUAAAGUACUUUCAGCGGGGAGGAAGGGAGUAAAGUUAAUACCUUGGCUCAUUGACGUUACCCGCAGAAGAAGCACCGGCUAACUCCGUG